This 216-nucleotide long non-coding RNA is filed under the name Salvia miltiorrhiza (redroot sage). Its description in RNAcentral is "long non-coding RNA (SMIL_LNC000380)". Lineage: Eukaryota; Viridiplantae; Streptophyta; Magnoliopsida; Lamiales; Lamiaceae. The record is from RNAcentral.
AAAUUCUCUUGAGGAAUUGGUGAGACUAAACUCUCAGGAUAGAAAAACGCUUCGCAACAACGUCUAAUUUUCUUGCUUGGCUUAGAGAUCUCUUCCACCCAUGACUCCUUCACCCCAUACUCCUUCAUGAUCCAAACUCUGCGUUUCCCUUUACCAUAAUCAUCACACACCACACUAAGGCAUCCCUCUAUCACCCACAGCCACGGGCAAAUCCCG